GGACCAGUUCUACAAAGAAGCAAUUGAGCACUGUCGCAGCUACAACUCUCGGCUGUGUGCUGAGCGAAGCGUCCGCCUUCCCUUCCUGGAUUCGCAAACUGGGGUAGCUCAGAACAACUGCUACAUCUGGAUGGAGAAGAGGCACAGGGGACCAGGCCUGGCCCCAGGUCAGCUGUACACGUACCCAGCACGUUGCUGGCGCAAAAAGAGGCGUUUGCAUCCCCCUGAGGAUUCCAGGCUGAAGCUGCUGGAAAUUAAACCUGAAGUUGAUCUGCCUCUGAAAAAAGAUGGGUUUACAUCAGAAAGUACAACUCUGGAAGCCUUGCUGCGUGGAGAAGGAAUAGAGAAAAAAGCGGACACUAAAGAGGAAGACACUAUACAAGAAAUCCAGAGGGUUUUAGAAAAUGAUGAAAAUGCAGAUGAAGUGAAUGAGGAAGAGGACUUGGAAGAAGAUAUUCCAAAACGAAAGAACAGGCCUAGAGGACGGCCAAAGACCCCCACCUGGAAAAAAAUUUUCCAGAAAAAUGCUCGGGGAUCUGGAGGUGGCAGGAGACGGAAUGAUGCUGCCUCCCAGGAUGAUCAUGACAAACCCUAUGUUUGUGACAAUAGUUACAAACAAAAGCAUAACUCAAAAAUCUCCGACAAAGUCUGUGGCAAGCGUUACAAGAACAGGCCUGGGCUGAGCUACCACUAUGCUCACACCCACCUCGCCAGCGAAGAGGGUGAUGAAGCCCGUGAGCAGGAGACCCGCUCUUCCCCUGUCCACAGAAAUGAAAACCACAAACCCCAGAAAGGACCAGACGGGGUCAUCAUUCCCAAUAACUACUGUGACUUCUGCCUCGGAGGCUCCAAUAUGAACAAAAAAAGUGGCCGGCCUGAGGAACUUGUAUCAUGCUCAGACUGUGGGCGCUCUGCUCAUUUGGGAAGAGAAGGCAGGAGGGACGAAGCAGCGCCAGCACGCACUACGGAGGACUUGUUCGGUUCCACGUCAGAAAGCGACACCUCGACCUUUCAUGGCUUUGACGAGGACGAUGCAGAAGAGCCUCUCUCGAGCCGAGGAGGUGGCUGUGGUGGCAGCUCUCCCUCUGCAGACAAAAAGGGCGGCUGCUAAAAUAACUAAAAAGACACACAAACUCUGAGUGAUUUGCUGUCCUUUUUACUACUAGGAUUAUUAUUACCUUUUUCUUUUUUUAAUUUUAGGUCCUUGGGUUUUUGGGGUUUUUUGUUGUUAUUUUUGUUGUUUUUCCUGUGGGGUGUACACUGAAAGCACAAGCAUUUAAAGCUUUUGACAACUACUUCGAAGAGACAGAAGGUUUUGAUUUUCCUGUUGUUUUUUUCAUUUUAAUUUGUUUUCCUCCCACCUCCCCCCUUCUCUUUCUCUCUGGAAACGUAAAAGGUGGAUUUAAUAUUUUUUUUAAUAGUGAGCAGAGUUGAUUUUCUUGUCUUUUAAUAUAUAUAUCGGCAAACCAUGAAAAAUACAGAUGGGUUGGAGAGCAGAAAGCAAACGCAAAUAGGUUUUUUAAUUAUUAUUAUUUAUAUAUUCUAUAUAUUAUUAGAAAAACUACUUUUUAAAUAAAAAUACAAAAAAACAAAAAGCAAUGGAUGUCUACUCGAUAAUAGAACUGUUUCUAGAGAACCACUGUGGGCGGACUCUAUUGGAGGACAAGGAAACCCUUAAUGUGAUGGCUUCUGCGUUUUGAGAUUUUGCACUUACUGUAGCAUGUGGAGUUUGGCUCUUCUUGUACACCUGCUACGCUUGUCUUUAACAGCUUGAAAAUACAAGCAGCACCACUGAAGACCAUGACCUUGGGGAACACGUUUCCAUCCCUCCUUUGGACACCUUUACACUCAAUAGAUCUCUUCUUCCCUGCACCCCUUCAUGUCUUCCUCACUCCGUUCUACUUUUUUUUCUUUUCCUUCACCUUUCACUUCAUGGACAGCAAUUUCCAAGCAUAGGGAUGGAAUAUGAAUGGCAAGUUGUAGACGUCAAAGACAAAACAGAUGGAGGAGAGAAUCAUGGAAGAAAUGAUAUGGAAAAAUACCUCACUUGUACUUUUCUUUCCAUUUUUAAAUUUUAAUUCACAGCAUUUUUUCCUGUGUCGCCCAGUUUUUUUCUCUCUGUAGUGUCUUGUGAGACACUUUGUUUGCUUUUCAAUAGCUUCUCUUGACAUAAACCAAAGCAAUAGUCAUUAAAGUUCCAAGGGCAAUGGAGAAGAGAGUGACUCCCUUCCCAGCGACUUUCCCAGAAAGGAGGAAACAUGCAGCAGGAUUUGAAAGUCAGCCCUGCCCUCUUGGACUCCAGCAUCCUUCAAGCAAGACAUUUCAGAAGAAGGCCAAGAGAAGCCAGGAUGCUUUGAUACUUCUCCUCUCCUUGCCCUGACCCUUCCGUACCCGUGUUUCAUCUGGCACAGGAGCCUGGACUGUGGGAAGUCGGCCGCCAACUGUUGAGAGAAGUUCUGGGGAUGCCCUAAGCUGGUGCAAUACAAAGAAGUUUUUUAAAAUCUUGAUUUCACUUUCUUUUACGUGUGUGUGUAAACCCAGGUCAAACUGGAAUUGAUCUACAGUAGAACUGACUGAAAAACAAACUGAAAAAAGACUUAACUAUUUUAUUUAUUUCGAUAUUUAAGAGAGAAAAGAAGUGCUGAAGUUGCACAGUAUUUUUGUUUGAAAUACAUUUUACUUCAAAUUUUAAAUACAAUUUUGUGAAGACAUGAAAUUUUAAAAAGCACUUAAUGUAAAAUAAAGACUGAAUAUUUACUUUAAGGAAAAAACUUUUUUUAAAUAAUGAAAAUAAAGAUCAACUCUGCUCUCUCUCUUACUUUAAAGAAGCCAUUCAUACAUGUGCUGGGUUCUUUGUUUUUUGCAAAUUGGAUGUGAAACUGGUCCUGUUGCUUGCUAUAGUGAAGGUGACUAUGACUUGAAAACUUCACUGCUUGCCUUCAGACCUUAUCUUUACCUGUGUGAGGCCUUUAGCGGAUUCAUUGGAAGAAGGAGGAAAGCAAAAGGCAGUUUCAGCUGCCUUUGAUAUCCUCAGUCACUGUGGCUCUUGGGAACCUCUUCGGAAUCUGAUAGAGCAGCUUUUGGACUCCUUAAUGGGUUGUCCUCAGCUGUUCUGUGGCUAAAAAGUCUGUCCUUCCUUUUCACCUGUUGGGCCCUGGGGACCAGAGGCAGCUGAAAGGUGGGGUAAGGUGCUAACCGUAUUUCUGAGCUGUGCUGAGAAGGUAGCUAUGAUGCUCUCCUUAGGGCACAUACUGGGUGACAGGGUUGCUGGUUUUAAAGCCCCUCCUAGCAACUUCCAGUUUUCUUUCUGCACUUUGCUCUCAGAUAUUCUUAACAAUAAUCUGAGUUGUAGGCCUACAAAACUACUUUUCCUUGGGGAUUUCAUGGGGGAGCAAAUACCCUUCUUUUCCUACCCCAAAGCAAACAGAGGAGGCAGGGUAUGUGAUGACAGAUCCUGAGCCCCUGGCCAUGGCUGCUUUUGUUGUUCUUCUUCUAGCUCCUCUUGAGCUUUCUGCUGUGCUGCAUAGGACAGAGAGACCCAGGCGGAGGUUGGACCGAGGGCAAAGCUGAAUGGUGACAAAUCAAAGAAAGGAAAGUUGAAGAAAGGAAGGAAGGAAACUGCUUGUGGCAUCAGUGCACUUUUCUUGUUCAAUAGGUCAUUUCCCAUUCUAAUGCAGUUGUCAUUUUCAUUGUCCCCAGCGUGAUGGAUGCAGAGAGCAGAGCUAGACAUUUCUGCUAAGGUAACCAGGAGUGAAAGUGUACGUUGAAAUUGGCCUUUAUGGAUGUCUGUCAACACCCUGUUUAGAUGAAUGGGAUCCUUCCCACCACAGCAGAGCUAUUGUUACAGGCUGUCAGACUCCAGAGAACAACUCCGCAUAAGUCUUAUUACUUUGAACGUUUUGGUGCUUUUUGUUGUUGUUGUUUUUUGGUGGGUUUUCUUUUAAUCCACAGGCCUGGAAAUAGAAAUGUUCUAAAGGAAAGUUUUAAUUUUGCAGAAAUUAUCAGAACAGAAAAAAAUACCACUGUUCCCUAAGCCCCAGAGCAGAUUUACGUUGGCAUGCUGGCUAGGAAGGUAUCGUAUUUUCCUGUCUGGAGAAGGGUUCUUGCUGGUGAGAGUCAGACAUGGCAGGAGGAGCGAGUAAAAAGCUGAAGGCUGGAAUCUUGAGUUCUCUGGAUGGGCUGAAAAUGGCAUUGCCUUCUUUGCUUUGACCUGAACUAGAAUACUGCACUGGUUUAAGAUUUGUUCCAAUCUUUUGCCUGGAAUCAGGAAAAAAAAAGCUGGUUAAAAUUGUAUCCGGGAGCUUGUAAGCCCUACUUGUAAUCAGAUCCAUCAGCCUACAGAUGAUAAAAAAACCCAUAACCCUGUCUCUCUAAAACCAAGCUUUUAAUGCUCAUUAUCAAAGACAUAAACUUCUCUGUACCCUGUCCAUCCCUACUGUUGAAGAUGGCUGAGUAGGACCUCAACUACAUAAAGCAUAAGUAGCAGAGCACACCAGCAGUAACUACUCCUCUUAGCUAUGGCUAGGCUUGUCCAAAUUAUGGCUUGAUGUGUUUAAGAUCUCCAUUGUCCCUUGGAAAUUAUUGUAAAAUUAUAUUUCCUUUGCUGCAUGAAAGAUGGACGUUUGCCAAAGUUUAGUCCUAUCUUUGGUUUUAAAGACCUAAGAUGAGAGCCAUCCAUCACCAGUAUAUUUUUUAAGACCUGACUGCAUUUUUUGCUAUUUCAAUAAAUGCUCUUGCUGUGUGUGUGUGUGUUAGAAAUGUUUACCGUAUCAUCUGUUAUUUGGUGAAGUUUUGUCCUUGCAGCCUGUAAUUCUCCAUGGUGCCUGCACCACAAGACGAGAUGGAUGGCAUUUACCUUUAAAAAAGCGCAGAUUUCUGGAGCACGGAGUUGUGGCUAAUACUGCCAUCCAGGAUAUGAUUAGAAACGGUUUUGUUUAAUGUUUUCUAAGAUAGCUGUGGUAGCUCUGAGUGGCCUACAAACCAACUAUGGCACUGCUGUGGAAAAGGCAAUACACUUUGAACAUUGAAGCCGGGCGGUGGGCUGAAGCUCUUGGAAGUACUGCUGCCUGCCUGAGAGAGGUAGCUGCUCUGGGAAGCUUGCAGAGGGGACUCCUUUGGGAUCCCAGCUGAUAGAUGGCACCUCUUGAGCAGGAACAGACAUAGCCUCUCUUCAAUGUCUUAGGCUGAGUGGGUUUUUUCAAAGUGGAGUUUCAUUUCUCAGUGCUGUUAUCUUCCAUAACCAAUUCUCAGUAAGACCUUCUAGUUGAUGUCUACGUUUGCCCAGGUGUUAAGAGUCAUUUUUUUGCUUGGACUGGAGCCCCUUCUCAUUAUGUUUUUUCAGUCUUUGUUGUUAGUGUCCUGGUGUUGGUGGCUUCAUUGUGGACUGCAGGAAGAGAAUGAACGUGACCAAAUCUUUCAGAUACAGCCUUCUUUUUUGAAACAGAUUAGAGAUUUUAAGUAAUGCUGGAGAGAGUUUUCUCAAGCGUUGCUGAAGACUUAGCGUACUAGUUUGGAUUUGUUUCGUUAGCCAACAGCCAUUAACUUCUUCAUAUGAUGAUCUCAGGAGUUAGUAUUGAGGUCAGCUCUCCAAUAUGAGAGGAAGUCAUUGGAGGGGAAAUAGUUGAAAAUUGUGCUGUCAGUAAAGGGGUACUGUUCUUUUAGUGUCACGUAGCUUUCAAGUUCACGUAGCACUUUGUACAGUGGAGUUUACAUGGGGUGGUUUUAAGCCUAUGUUUGAGAAAUUAAUUUUCCCCGGUCGGUACAAAUCUCAGUUGCUUCACAUCAGUGCUCUGAUAUGCUUAAAUAUGUUAAACAACACUAAAGUCUUUCCAGGCGCUUCCUCAAGCUCAACAAUUUCUUUUAUGGUGCAGUAGAUUCUGCAGCUGGAUCUUGGCUCAGAAUUCUCAUCCAUUGCUGGGAUACCUGGGCUUGGGCUUCUUAAGGAACAGGUCCCAUCUCUCCUCAGGUUUGUUCCACACCAACUAUGUCUCUGAAUGUGUCCAUCAGCCUGGAGGCUUAGAAUACUUUUUAACUAUGCACAAACUCUCUCUAAGUUGAAUUCAGAUUGCUGUUGUACUCUUCAGACAUCCGGAUAGUCCAGAGCCAUGUAUUCCUUCACCUGGAGAAGACGACCUUCCCUGGGUUAGGGAACUUCAUUUCCCUUGCAAGGCCAGGUCAGCCUCUUCAUUAAUUAGCUCUCCAAGACCCCUUCCUUACUUCCAUUAAGGGUGAGAUUUUACAAGUACUUAGUGAUCUGAAAGAAAAAAAUGGUGAAGAAUUUCCUAAGGACAUCUGCACCCAUUGGAUUCCUCUGUGACUGUUUAAAUAUUUACGGGUCUGGCAUUAUGUGAAGAAGAACAAGUCCCCAUUAGGCUCAGGGCAGGUAUCAUUAAGAAUUGCCAAACAUUUAAUGGGUAAUGGGAUCCCACCUAGCAGUGAAUGUCUCAGGUGAUGAACACCCUCAACAGCUGUUAAAGGUGAGAGGAGUUGUGUGCCCAGAACUCUGUCAGACCAGCCUGUAGGAGAGGACUUCCUAACCUCUUUGCCAUUAAGAGAACCACCGAGCAACAGUUCUGCUAGCCGAUGUUGCAGCCAGCUAAGAGCAGGGUCAGAAGAUUCACGGAUCCCUGUAGUACCGUGGAAGACCAUUUUCUAGCAUUAAAUACGAUAAUGUUCUACUUUUAUAUAGGCUCUGUUAAGCAAUUCCUCUGGUGCUGGAAAGUGAACUGUUUAAUGAAGGACAUUUGUGUCCACUGCGGUGGAACUAGCUAAUUUCUUGUUUAAUCUGAUGUGAUAUUUAGCUGCUGUGAAGUAUCGGUUGUGUAGGUUAAAGCAACGCUGCUCACUUGUUACAGGUUAAAGAAUGGCCUGCACUUUGAUUUGCCUAAUCCGGGGUAGGAGGUCUGGUGAGCUCUGAGAAAACAGAUCAUGGAUUUUAAUCUAGUGUUCUCCCCGUGAAAAACAAACCAAAAAAAAUUGCUACUGUUUUGGUGUGUCUGGCAGCAUUUUGUUGGACAGUUACUCAAAAAAGGCUGAACUGAAAAAUACCCUGGUGAGGAGAAAAGAUUUUGGUUUGAUUCGAAACGGAACGCAUUCUCUUUUUUUCUGAAUGAAAUGACCCUUUACCACUGCCAAGUGUGUGCGGGCUUGAAUGAACAUUUCAUUUGUAAGUAUUUUUUUUGUCUCUUAAAAACAAUUCCAUCGAGCUCAUUUUUGAAGCAAGGUACUGCUCCAAAACGAAAGUCCGACUUCUUGUUUGUGAAACACUGGCACAAAAUCUCACCCAUUCUGAAAAAUCAGUUUCUCCCUCUGCUGCCUCUUAACCCUUUCUCCCCUCCUGCUUGCUUUUGACUGGAACUACUUCAUUCAAAUUCAUUCCUUCACUCAGAUGUUUAGAUCACCCUGAAAUUGCAUUUUUUAGAGAGUAAACUGAGACAUUUCACCCCCUCCUACCGAGCGCGUACUGAUGCUCUGCAGGGUGCAGUUAUAGCUCUUACUUCCCUCUAGAUAUUGAUGUUGCUGGAACUUUGAUGGGGAAGUGAAAACUGGCUGCCAUAUGAUGAAAUCUCGAUUGGCACUUAGAAAUUCUCAACCAAACAGGGGGGUUUAACUAACGAAGAAGGGAAAAAAUCAGUAGACGAUGGGAUUUUUCCAGCUUCUGGCAUGGCAUUGCAAACAAUGGAGAGUGUGUGUGGAGAGCACUGCCCAUUCGGCAGCUGAAAGGGUUUCUUUAAAUCAACGAGGAACUGAAGUAAUUUGCUCCAAAUUGUUUUUGUUUGUGUUUAGUUGAGUGAGGCAGUUCUACUUAUGUCUGUAGAUACAAUCAUAGUAGCAACGGUGUAAAUUAUGCUUGUGGGGGAAACCAGACCUCUUGCAUUUACGGCGUGUUCACAUUGGUUAUCAACAAUUUACCCAUCACGUGCUGAAUUUCUUUACCCGGAUGACACGUGGUUACCUCAUGGAACAGCAAUGAGGCUACUGCCUAUGCAACGGC
Chroicocephalus ridibundus (black-headed gull) is the source of this 7993-nucleotide RNA transcript. It is a transcript of the gene named double PHD fingers 3, with no coding region annotated. NCBI's taxonomy places the organism in Eukaryota, Metazoa, Chordata, Aves, Charadriiformes, Laridae. The record is from RefSeq and is a predicted model, not a curated record. The transcript is spliced from 13 exons.